AAAAAUUUUAAUUUACUAAAAAAAUUAAACAUCUCAUACCUGGUUAUAUAUGUGGCAGUGUACGAAUCGUUGUGCUCGGGGUAAACCAUGUCGUUCAAUUUUGCCGCAUGCUCGAUUGUCGCCUCCGUACUUGUCGCGUCCAAUUUGAUCGCAGAAUCCACCUUCGCGCUUCUUUCUCUUCCUCCCGUUCUCCCUGUUUCUAGCAGAGCACAACUCCUCUCGCUCCCUCUCGCGCCAUGCCCUCGUUCUCUCUCGUGCCCUGCUCCCGCUCCCGCUCGAGCUCUCCUCUCUCUCUCGAUUGCUCGCUCGCUCACCUCUCUCUCUUUAGCUCGCUGCCUCGCUCGCUCGCCUCUCUCUCUCACGCUACCGCGCUCGCCUCUCUCUCUCUUUAGCACGCUGGCGCCAAAAUUUA
This 412-nucleotide long non-coding RNA is filed under the name Ananas comosus (pineapple). RNAcentral's name for it is "long non-coding RNA (ACOM_LNC017977)". The record is from RNAcentral. Lineage: Eukaryota; Viridiplantae; Streptophyta; Magnoliopsida; Poales; Bromeliaceae.